AUUUAAGUAGUUUAUGAAAAUAAAGAAUUGUGGUUUCUUAGAUGGUAGUUACCCUUAAAUU
RNAcentral lists this transfer RNA (61 nucleotides) under Atkinsoniella grahami. RNAcentral describes it as "tRNA-His". Lineage: Eukaryota; Metazoa; Arthropoda; Insecta; Hemiptera; Cicadellidae. The record is from RNAcentral. RNAcentral also lists the same sequence under 1 other name.